CCCGAGAGACUCGUGGGAGUCACGGCGGCUCCCGCGCAGCUGCGCUGUGGCAGCCGUCCUGGACACGGCGAGAGCUUCGGGCCCCCAGACAAAGGACGAAGGUUGCCUGGAGCGGCGUCGCAGAGAUGGUUUCUGUGUUCAGGGGCCCGCGCUGACAGAGUCGUGCUCUGAGCUACGAUUUCCCGCAGGACCUUCAUGCGGGCCGCACCCUAGGACCAUGGUUAUUCAAACCCGAGUUCCCUGAGUGCAUCCGGGUGCUGUUGGCAUCCUCUUGGUCUUUGUCCUUGACCUGUCAACGAUGACACCUUCCAUUACUGUGCCGUAGCUGUUUAACCGUCGGCCGGGUGUUGUGUGAACCACCUUCUCCGUGCUGGGCUUCUGAUUCAAGGCUGGUUCCUGACUCCUGAUGGGCCUGUAGGUUCUGGGUGAGAAUCAAAGAACAGCCCAACCCCAACUUCAUGUUGGGGGAGCCUUGGAUGCCCAUUGGGAAGUUUUGCUUGGGAGCCUGAAAUUCACCACGAUGCCCAGGUCGAUAAUGCUUUAAUAGAAGCUUUCAAGAGACGUUACUUCUUGCAUCCUUUGAGGGUCUUACGUAUCUCUUUCAUCAUUUGAUCCUUCUGAGAAAUUAGCCGUGGGGAGGAGGGUAGAGCUCAGUGGAAGACUGCGUACUUAGUAUGCACAAGGUUCCAUGUUCAAUCCCCGGUACCUCCACCAAAAACAAACAAAUUCAUAAUUAAAAGCCUAAUUACUCUCCCUCAAAAAAAAAAAAAGCAAUUAGCUGUACUAAAUAAACUAUCUAUGUCUACU
Non-coding RNA from Vicugna pacos (alpaca), 807 nucleotides. Lineage: Eukaryota; Metazoa; Chordata; Mammalia; Artiodactyla; Camelidae. The record is from RefSeq and is a predicted model, not a curated record.